This 402-nucleotide ribosomal RNA is filed under the name uncultured bacterium. RNAcentral describes it as "bacterial SSU rRNA". It matches the Rfam family "Bacterial small subunit ribosomal RNA", at positions 355 to 774 of the family's 1533-position model. The record is from RNAcentral.
UGGGGAAUCUUGCACAAUGGGGGCAACCCUGAUGCAGCGACGCCGCGUGAGCGAUGAAGCCCUUCGGGGCGUAAAGCUCUUUCGACCGGAACGAUAAUGACGGUACCGGGAGAAGAAGCUGCGGCUAACUACGUGCCAGCAGCCGCGGUAAUACGUAGGCAGCAAGCGUUGUUCGGAGUUACUGGGCGUAAAGAGUGCGUAGGCGGUUUUCUAAGUUCGGUGUGAAAUCUCCCGGCUUAACUGGGAGGGUGCGCCGAAGACUGGGACGCUGGAGUGUGGGAAAGGCAGGCGGAAUUCCUGGUGUAGCGGUGAAAUGCGUAGAUAUCAGGGGGAACACCGGCGGUGUAGACGGCUUGCUAGACCAUAACUGACGCUGAGGCACGAAAGCGUGGGUAGCAAACA